RNAcentral lists this ribosomal RNA (429 nucleotides) under Acidobacteriota bacterium. RNAcentral describes it as "Acidobacteria bacterium partial 16S ribosomal RNA". It matches the Rfam family "Bacterial small subunit ribosomal RNA", at positions 355 to 776 of the family's 1533-position model. The record is from RNAcentral. Lineage: Bacteria; Pseudomonadati; Acidobacteriota.
UGGGGAAUUUUGGACAAUGGGGGAAACCCUGAUCCAGCCAUCCCGCGUGUGCGAUGAAGGCCUUCGGGUUGUAAAGCACUUUUGGCAGGAAAGAAACGUCAUGGGUUAAUACCCCGUGAAACUGACGGUACCUGCAGAAUAAGCACCGGCUAACUACGUGCCAGCAGCCGCGGUAAUACGUAGGGUGCAAGCGUUAAUCGGAAUUACUGGGCGUAAAGCGUGCGCAGGCGGUUCGGAAAGAAAGAUGUGAAAUCCCAGAGCUCAACUUAGGAACUGCAUUUUUAACUACCGGGCUAGAGUGUGUCAGAGGGAGGUGGAAUUCCGCGUGUAGCAGUGAAAUGCGUAGAUAUGCGGAGGAACACCGAUGGCGAAGGCAGCCUCCUGGGAUAACACUGACGCUCAUGCACGAAAGCGUGGGGAGCAAACAGG